RNAcentral lists this ribosomal RNA (406 nucleotides) under uncultured bacterium. RNAcentral describes it as "partial 16S ribosomal RNA". It matches the Rfam family "Bacterial small subunit ribosomal RNA", at positions 29 to 526 of the family's 1533-position model. The record is from RNAcentral.
AUUGAACGCUGGCGGCAGGCUUAACACAUGCAAGUCGAGCGAGCGGCGGACGGGUGAGUAAGGUAUGGGAAACUGCCUGAUGGAGGGGGAUAACUACUGGAAACGGAAGCCAAAACCGCAUACCAUAAGAUGGGCCGAGGUGGGAUUGGCUAGGGGGUGGGGUAAUGGCUUACCAAGGCGACGAUCCCUAGCUGGUCUGAGAGGAUGACCAGCCACACUGGAACUGAGACACGGUCCAGACUCCUACGGGAGGCAGCAGUGGGGAAUAUUGCACAAUGGGCGCAAGCCUGAUGCAGCCAUGCCGCGUGUGUGAAGAAGGCCUUCGGGUUGUAAAGCACUGUCAGCGGGGAGGCGUUACUCGCAGAAGAAGCACCGGCUAACUCCGUGCCAGCAGCUGCGGUAAUUC